UCACGGGUAGCUCAACCGGCAGAGCAGGCGGCUGUUAACCGCCGGCGUGAGGGUUCGACUCCCUCCCCGUGAG
This 73-nucleotide transfer RNA is filed under the name Candidatus Palauibacterales bacterium. RNAcentral's name for it is "tRNA-Asn". It matches the Rfam family "tRNA". From Rfam's summary of the family: Transfer RNA (tRNA) molecules are approximately 80 nucleotides in length. Their secondary structure includes four short double-helical elements and three loops (D, anti-codon, and T loops). Lineage: Bacteria; Pseudomonadati; Gemmatimonadota; Gemmatimonadia; Candidatus Palauibacterales. The record is from RNAcentral.